RNAcentral lists this ribosomal RNA (251 nucleotides) under uncultured bacterium. RNAcentral's name for it is "partial 16S ribosomal RNA". It matches the Rfam family "Bacterial small subunit ribosomal RNA", at positions 1252 to 1500 of the family's 1533-position model. The record is from RNAcentral.
AGACCGUGAGGUGGAGCAAAACUCAAAAACUUAGUCUCAGUUCGGAUUGUAGGCUGAAACUCGCCUACAUGAAGCUGGAGUUGCUAGUAAUCGCGAAUCAGCAUGUCGCGGUGAAUACGUUCCCGGGCCUUGUACACACCGCCCGUCACACCAUGAGAGUUGGCAAUACCCAACGUACGUGAUCUAACCCGCAAGGGAGGAAGCGUCCUAAGGUAGGGUCAGCGAUUGGGGUGAAGUCGUAACAAGGUACC